Molecule: ribosomal RNA, 274 nt
Filed under: uncultured bacterium
Lineage: Bacteria
Description: partial 16S ribosomal RNA
Rfam family: Bacterial small subunit ribosomal RNA
Source: RNAcentral
AUACGAAAGGUGCAAGCGUUGUUCGGAUUUACUGGGCGUAAAGAGAGUGUAGGUGGUUUAUUAAGUCGGAUGUGAAAUCCCGGGGCUCAACCUCGGAACUGCAUCCGAUACUGCCACGCUAGAGGACCGGAGAGGAGACUGGAAUUCUCGGUGUAGCAGUGAAAUGCGUAGAGAUCGAGAGGAACACUCGUGGCGAAGGCGAGUCUCUGGACGGUUCCUGACGCUGAGGCACGAAGGCCAGGGUAGCGAAAGGGAUUAGAAACCCCGGUAGUCC